Molecule: long non-coding RNA, 2062 nt
Filed under: Callithrix jacchus (white-tufted-ear marmoset)
Lineage: Eukaryota; Metazoa; Chordata; Mammalia; Primates; Cebidae
Description: lncRNA (ENSCJAG00000084666.1)
Source: RNAcentral
GUGGUUUGGAACAGGGCAGGGAUGGAGGGAAGGUCCUUGUAUCUUAGACAUCAAAAUCCCAGGAAAAUAAUUAGGAGGUGUUUGGGAUUCUGCUGAAAACUCUGACAACAGACCAGAAAUAUCUCCAAGAGCACCAGCAACCCCAGCUAUCUAGACCCGAAGUGGAUAUACUCAGAGGCAUCCUGGCCUACCCCACCCCUGACCCCAGAGAAGAUGCUGCUGCCCUCAGAAGACGCCAGAGCCAGCCACACUGCAAGUCUGGGAGGAUCGAGCAAGGCAGGCUGCUCAGUGAAGGCUUCCUCUCCUGUAGCAGGAAGAGCAUCGUUAAGAACAAGUAUGCAGGGCUGGACUACUCUGGAGAUGUAAUGACCAGAGCUGAGACCCCCGAGACCAGAGUGACUAUGAAGGACUGUCGUCACCUUGUUCCUGAACAUCUAAUGCCUCUCAGCUCCAGGAGGCCACUGAGGAGAAACCGAAGGCUAGUUUUCCUUGGAAGCCAGCAGCCUGUCCACCUGUUCCACUUCCCUGCCUCUUGCAGCCUCCGCUCAAACACUACCAUGGUUUGGGAGCACGGAAAAACUAGAAAAUACAGAAAUAUAUCAAGAAGAAAGAAAUUUAAAAAUCAACCUGAAUCCCACCAACCAGAGACAGCUAUUAAUGAUUGUGGUAUAUUUAUUGCCCAUGGCAUGGAUGGCACCGACAAUCGAGGCAGGCAGUGCUGGUGGAUACACCUAGGAGGUCCUGUUGGAAGAGGACCAUUCGUGUGCAGAAACGAGGAAAUAGACAUGUAUGAGCUGGAAGAAAAUCUUAUCCGUCUGAUUCAAUUCCCUCAUUUCACAGCUUCUCCCUCCCCAUGACUUCACUGUGCCACGACCCUUCUCCCUCUCAAGUUGCCUCUUCCUCAAAGUGCACAGCAUACCUGACGGCUUCUCUCUGCACAUCCUUCAACACCAGCUCAGCACCUGAGUCUUGGAGGCAACUCUGCCAGUAUAUGAGAAGGUACAAAUUAAAAUGCCAUGUGAUUCUAUUCCUUUAUUAGCUCAUUGGCCAAAAUUUAAAAGUAUGGCAAUGGUAGUGCUAAAGAGAGGGUGAGAAAAUAGAAAGUCUUAUAUAUGGCAGUGGAAAUUUCAACUUGCUAUAAGCAUUUUGGAUAUUAAUUUGGUAACAUUUAUUUAAAAAAUUUUUAAAUGCGUGCUCUUUGAGUUAGCAAUCCCCCUUUUGAGUAACUGUCUUCAAGUUUGUAAAUCUACACAUCUGAGAACGCUGGCUGCCACGUCCUGAGAAUUGCGCAAUGGGGAGAUUGUAGAGUAGGUCACCAGACGUUCGCUCAAAGCCUCUGGGCAAUCCUGGGACAGCUGCAAUUCUGGGCCUGGAGAGGUGCUACACUGCAGACCAAUAUGGGGAAGAUAAGCGUGUGUUCGUGUGUGAGGAUAUGUGUGUAAACAUGCGUGUAUAUUUAGAUGGCUGAUUAAUACAAAAAUAAAAUACGAACUGCUAAGUCUGACUAUGUCAAGGGGAGAAGAUUUCUUAGGCCUGGGAAGGGGAAGGGGUACAAAUUUCAUGGUCAUGUAUGUUUUUAAAAACUGGUAUAAUUGUAGGAGUGAUUUUUCUUUUAGGUAUUUAUGAGUAUUUUUCAUAUAAAGGAAACUUAAAAUCAAAAUGAAGAAAUAUUCCUGAUGGAGAGAGAAUCUCUUUGGUGCAGUUCAUUCUUCCAGGCAAUGACAUAGGCUCCUGACAAGCCUUCCGAUUGGCCGUUGCAGCUGUCUCUGGGUCACGUGAUACCCACUGGUCCAGUCAGGGUGGGACAGGAGCAUAUGGAAUUAAACUUGGCCGGGAGGUGGGCCGUGGUAAAGGCGGCUUGUCUUGAAAGGGUUUUUGGGAAUGCAGACAUCAUCAUGGAAAUGCCUAGUUCCACCUCAGCCGAGGACAGAAAUGUGGGAAAUUCCUACAUUUCAGGGACACAUAGGCGAAAGAGGAUUUGAGGGAAGUCAAAAGAGAACUAAAAUAACACAAUGCUGAGAGAGAAAGGAGGCAGCGAGGGAAUAAAUUAAAUAUGAAGAGA